CGGGGGGGGCAAGCGUUGUUCGGAAUUACUGGGCGUAAAGGGCUCGUAGGCGGCCAACUAAGUCAGACGUGAAAUCCCCAGGCUCAACCUGGGAACUGCGUCUGAUACUGGAUGGCUUGAAUCCGGGAGAGGGAUGCAGAAUUCCAGGUGUAGCGGUGAAAUGCGUAGAUAUCUGGAGGAAUACCGGUGGCGAAGGCGGCAUCCUGGACCGGCAUUGACGCUGAGGAGCGAAAGCCAGGGGAGCAAACGGGAUUAGAUACCCCGGUAGUCCUGGCCCUAAACGAUGAAUGCUUGGUGUAACGGGUACCGAUCCCUGUUGUGCCGAAGCUAACGCAUUAAGCAUUCCGCCUGGGGAGUACGGUCGCGAGGCUG
Molecule: ribosomal RNA, 372 nt
Filed under: uncultured organism
Description: bacterial SSU rRNA
Rfam family: Bacterial small subunit ribosomal RNA
Source: RNAcentral